UGGAUAGCUCAAUGGGUAGAGCAACCGUUUCGGCGGUGUGUCGCGGGUUCGACUCCCGCUCCA
Candidatus Accumulibacter phosphatis is the source of this 63-nucleotide non-coding RNA. The record is from Rfam. NCBI's taxonomy places the organism in Bacteria, Pseudomonadati, Pseudomonadota, Betaproteobacteria.